This 393-nucleotide ribosomal RNA is filed under the name uncultured bacterium. RNAcentral describes it as "bacterial SSU rRNA". It matches the Rfam family "Bacterial small subunit ribosomal RNA", at positions 1045 to 1437 of the family's 1533-position model. The record is from RNAcentral.
AUGGCUGUCGUCAGCUCGUGCCGUGAGGUGUUGGGUUAAGUCCCGCAACGAGCGCAACCCCUACUGUUAGUUGCCAUCAGGUUAAGCUGGGGACUCUAACAGGACUGCCUACGCAAGUAGAGAGGAAGGUGGGGACGACGUCAAGUCAUCAUGGCCCUUACGCCCAGGGCUACACACGUGCUACAAUGGUGCAUACAGAGGGUUGCGAGCUGGUAACAGUAAGCCAAUCUCAAAAAGUGCAUCUCAGUUCGGAUUGAGGUCUGCAACUCGACCUCAUGAAGUUGGAAUCGCUAGUAAUCGCGUAUCAGCAAUGACGCGGUGAAUACGUUCCCGGACCUUGUACACACCGCCCGUGGGCGGGGGCGGCGGGCCGGGCGCGGGGCGCGGCGGGCG